AUAAAGGAAGUUUGCUUUUUGAUCGUUUU
This 29-nucleotide non-coding RNA is filed under the name Mus musculus (house mouse). The record is from RNAcentral. Lineage: Eukaryota; Metazoa; Chordata; Mammalia; Rodentia; Muridae.